RNAcentral lists this ribosomal RNA (497 nucleotides) under uncultured bacterium. Its description in RNAcentral is "partial 16S ribosomal RNA". It matches the Rfam family "Bacterial small subunit ribosomal RNA", at positions 28 to 507 of the family's 1533-position model. The record is from RNAcentral.
GAUGAACGCUGGCGGCGUGCCUAAUACAUGCAAGUCGAGCGAACAGACGAGGAGCUUGCUCCUCUGACGUUAGCGGCGGACGGGUGAGUAACACGUGGAUAACCUACCUAUAAGACUGGGAUAACUUCGGGAAACCGGAGCUAAUACCGGAUAAUAUAUUGAACCGCAUGGUUCAAUAGUGAAAGACGGUUUUGCUGUCACUUAUAGAUGGAUCCGCGCCGCAUUAGCUAGUUGGUAAGGUAACGGCUUACCAAGGCAACGAUGCGUAGCCGACCUGAGAGGGUGAACGGCCCCACUGGAACUGAGACACGGUCCAGACUCCUACGGGAGGCAGCAGUAGGGAAUCUUCCGCGAUGGGCGAAAGCCUGACGGAGCAACGCCGCGUGAGUGAUGAAGGUCUUCGGAUCGUAAAACUCUGUUAUUAGGGAAGAACAAAUGUGUAAGUAACUAUGCACGUCUUGACGGUACCUAAUCAGAAAGCCACGGCUAACUACGUG